This 67-nucleotide transfer RNA is filed under the name uncultured Synechococcus sp. It matches the Rfam family "tRNA". Rfam says of the family: Transfer RNA (tRNA) molecules are approximately 80 nucleotides in length. Their secondary structure includes four short double-helical elements and three loops (D, anti-codon, and T loops). Further hydrogen bonds mediate the characteristic L-shaped molecular structure. tRNAs have two regions of fundamental functional importance: the anti-codon, which is responsible for specific mRNA codon recognition, and the 3' end, to which the tRNAs corresponding amino acid is attached (by aminoacyl-tRNA synthetases). tRNAs cope with the degeneracy of the genetic code in two manners: having more than one tRNA (with a specific anti-codon) for a particular amino acid; and 'wobble' base-pairing, i.e. permitting non-standard base-pairing at the 3rd anti-codon position. RNAcentral also lists the same sequence under 1 other name. Lineage: Bacteria; Bacillati; Cyanobacteriota; Cyanophyceae; Synechococcales; Synechococcaceae. The record is from RNAcentral.
CGGUGUAGCUCAGGGGUAGAGCAACUGAUUCGUAAUCAGUAGGUCGUCGGUUCAAUUCCGAUCACCG